RNAcentral lists this ribosomal RNA (404 nucleotides) under uncultured bacterium. RNAcentral's name for it is "bacterial SSU rRNA". It matches the Rfam family "Bacterial small subunit ribosomal RNA", at positions 355 to 776 of the family's 1533-position model. The record is from RNAcentral.
UCGGGAAUUUUGGGCAAUGGGCGAAAGCCUGACCCAGCAACGCCGCGUGAAGGACGAAGUCUUUCGGGAUGUAAACUUCGUAAGAAUGGGAAGAAUAAAUGACGGUACCAUUUGUAAGCCCCGGCUAACUACGUGCCAGCAGCCGCGGUAAUACGUAGGGGGCAAGCGUUGUUCGGAUUUACUGGGCGUAAAGGGCGCGUAGGCGGCGUGACAAGUCAGUUGUGAAAUCUCUGAGCUUAACUCAGAACGGUCAACUGAUACUGUUGUGCUAGAGUGCAGAAGGGGCAACCGGAAUUCUUGGUGUAGCGGUGAAAUGCGUAGAUAUCAAGAGGAACACCUGAGGUGAAGACGGGUUGCUGGGCUGACACUGACGCUGAGGCGCGAAAGCUAGGGUAGCAAACGGG